Molecule: long non-coding RNA, 4900 nt
Filed under: Malus domestica (apple)
Lineage: Eukaryota; Viridiplantae; Streptophyta; Magnoliopsida; Rosales; Rosaceae
Description: long non-coding RNA (MDOM_LNC009400)
Source: RNAcentral
CUCAACCUCAUUACGGCAUAUUAAUUUGAGAGGAACCAAAAUUCCCUCAGGCAUCAAACAAGCUUCUCAGCUGUCUUGCUUGUGCUUAAUCGAGUGCAUGAGCCUUGAAUCUUUACCAGAGCUCCCAUUGCUAAGUCAUCUUGAAGCAGAUGGGUGCAAGUCACUGAAGACAGUGUCAAGUUCAACAACAACAACAACAAUAACAAAGCCUUUUCCCACUAAGUGGGGUCGGCUAUAUGAAUCCUAGAACGCCAUUGCGCUCGGUUUUGUGUCAUGUCCUCCGUUAGAUCCAAGUACUCUAAGUCUUUUCUUAGAGUCUCUUCCAAAGUUUUCCUAGGUCUUCCUCUACCCAUUCGGCCCUGAACCUCUAUCCCGUAGUCACAUCUUCGAACCGGAGCGUCAGUAGGCCUUCUUUGCACAUGUCCAAAUCACCGAAACCGAUUUUAUCUCAUCUUUCCUUCAAUUUUGGCUACUCCUACUUUACCUCGGCUAUCCUCAUUCCCAAUCUUAUCCUUUCUCGUGUGCCCACACAUCCCACAAAGCAUCCUCAUCUCCACUACACCCAUUUUGUGUACGUGUUGAUGCUUCACCGCCCAACAUUCUGUGCCAUACAACAUCGCUGGCCUUAUUGCCGUCCUAUAAAAUUUUCCCUUGAGCUUCAGUGGCCUACGACGGUCACACAACACGCCGGAUGCAUUCUUACAUUUCAUCCAUCCAGCUUGUAUUCUAUGGUUGAGAUCUCCAUCUAAUUCUUCGUUCUCUUGUAAGAUAGAUCCUAGGUAGCGAAAACGGUCGCUUUUUGUGAUCUUCGCUAGAUUGCUCAAGUCAUUAGUGUGGAUAAGUAUAUAGAUGGAUAGAGAUAGGAAAGCAAACACAAGAUGUACGUGGUUCACCCAGAUUGGCUACGUCCACGGAAUAGAGGAGUUCUCAUUAAUUGUGAAGGGUUUACACAAGUACAUAGGUUCAAGCUCUCCUUUAGUGAGUACAAGUCAAUGAUUUAGUACAAAUGACAUUAGGAAAUAUUGUGGGAGAAUGAUCUCAUAAUCACGAAACUUCUAAGUAUCGGAGUGUGGUAUCGUCUUGACUUGCCUUAUCUGUCUCAUAGGUAGAUGUGGCAUCUUCUCUGGAAGUACUCUUCCUCCAUCCAGGGGUGGUAUCUUUAACUGGUGGAGAUGUACAAGGUAAUGUAUCAAUUUCACUUGAAGCUUACUUGUAGUUUCAGGCUUGGUCAAGCGCGAUACAAACCAUGUAGUAGGAGUCCCCAAGUCGCCGAGCUAGGGGAUCUGCUGAAAGAGGUGACAGACAAGGUAAGCAAUCAGAGCUUCGGCUGAUUGUUCACAUUCUCCCUAUCUUGCAGGCAGCAUGAAGGAUAAAGAGAAGAAAAAUGAGAAGAGAUGAUAUGGGAUACUUUUGCUUUUGAAGAAGUAACUUUCCACGGGCUUAUUCUUGAACUGAGCUGGAGGGUUUUCUGGUUUCCUCCAGAGUAUAAGGCCGACUGAAGAAUUUGAGGGUCAAAACAAGUCCUUCAAAUCUAGAGUACGUUCGACCCUGCUGAUAUGGGAUACUUUUUCUUUUGACAGAGUAGUGGAUGUAUCGGCACGUGUACUGUUACGCUUGUCUCCACAUGCUUCCUUGUAUCCUUCUCACUUGCCCUACCUGUUCCUCAGGCAGAUGCGGUAUCUUCCCUUGAAGCAUAAGAUGUUGAAGAUGAGUACUCGAGAGCAAUGCCAGGUAAGUAAUCAGGUAAGGGGUUCCAGGCAGUCAGUUUCUGGCUGGAAGCUUGAUUCCAAGUGCUGACUGAUUGCUCUCUUUCUCCUUGUCUUGCAGGUAAGAACAAGGCCAAAGUAAAAGACAGGGAAAAAGCAUGAUAUGGGAUACUCUUGCUUUUAACCCUGAUGAUAUGAGAUAUUCUUGCUCUAGUAUAGGUUGUUUGCAGAGGUAUUAUCGGGGGGAAAGAAAGCUGAAUAUUUCGAAAGGCUUCUUUGGGAGUGCCCUCUCAGAUAUGAGAAAGGGUUGAGCAUUUUUGCAGGUCUGCCUGUCCGUUGGGGAUGGAGGUCGACAUAUAUAGGAGUCUCCCUAACAACAAGUAAUAAUGCUAUUCCUUUACCCUGCUUGGUCAUAGCACGGUAGUGGGAGCUGUCAGCUUCACAUGUUUUAACUCUGUCAGAGCACUUUGAAAAAGUGGUCUGUGGUAUCUGGAAAGCUGAUGUUGCGUGUGAAGAUUACAGACAAGCUUUAUCCAAGGAGAUCCGGCUCUUGAAGUUGGGAAAGUGGUGCCUCUUCGGUUUUCGAACAAGCAAUCCUAUCGGGGAUCUGGCUCUCGAGAUUCGGAGAACGAUGCCUCUUCGAUUUUUGAGAAAGCAAUCAUGCUGGGGGUCUGGCUCUCGAGAUUCGGAGAGCGGUGUCUCUUCGAUUUUUGAGAAAGUAAUCAUGUUAGGAGUCUGGCUCUCGAGAUUCGGAGGGCGGUGCCUCUUCGAUUUUGGAGCAAGCAAUCUUGUUGGGAGUGUUUUCUCGAAUGUGAGUAAAGGUUGGGCAUGUUUGCUAGUCUACCUUGCCACGAAGCACAGAUGUUGACACACAGGGACUUUCCAAUUAUCCAGUAAUGGUACUGUUCCUUUACCCUCUCUUUAAUUUUUGAGAAAGUAGUCAUGUUGGGAGUCUGGCUCUCGAAAUUCGAAGGACGGUGCCUCUUCGAUUUUGGAGCAAGCAAUCUUGUUGGGAGUGUUUUCUCGAAUGUGAGUAAAGGUUGGGCAUGUUGCUAGUCUACUUUGCCACGAAGCACAGAGGUUGACACACAUGGACUUUCCAAUUAUCCAACAGUGGUACUGUUCCUUUACCCUUAUGGGUAAUAAUAUGGUAGCUAGACCUUCAAAAUUUAUGUGUCUAAACUUUGUUAGUACUGUUUCUUUGCUAUUCUUUUACCCUUCUUAGUCAGAGCGAUGCAGUGGGAGCUGCAAGCUUCACUUGUCUCAACUUUGGCAGAGAACUUUGGCAAAGUUAUCUGUGGUACCCAUGAGCUACUGUUGCGUGUGAGAAGUGGGUGAUUGAACAGUAAGAUUCAUGUGCUUUCUACUUCACCAGAAGUCUUCGACAGAAUGCUCAUAAUUUCCGCAAAGCUGAGUGUGCGUGUGACAAGUGCUGACAAGGCUAGAAAAGUAGGUGCCUCUUCGAUUUCUGAGAUCAGCCCUCGUGGUCUCUGAGCAGCCCAACUUUUGAGAAAGUAAGCGCCUCUUCGAUUUCUAAGAUUGGCCUUCGUGGUCUUUGAGCAACCCAGCUUUUGAGAAAGCAAACGCCUCUUCGAUUUCUGAGAUCGACCCUCGUGGUCUCUGAGCAGCCCAGCUUUUGAGAAAGUAAACGCCUCUUCGAUUUCUGAGCAGGCGCCUCUUCGAUUUCUGAAACUCCGUCGAGUGCAGAUUUUUAUAGGGGCUGGCAUUAAGUUCCAAAGCACACUUGAAUCUCCACCAGUAGAAGCUCCAUUCUUGCACUUCUAAGAUCUUGAUUUGUCCGACCUCUUAUCUCUUCAACACCUUUGAAAAUGUCUGGCCCCUCCGACCGUCGUUUUGACUUGAACCUUGUUGGAGAGGCAGCCUCGCCUUCUCCAGACAACAUAUGGCGCCCAUCCUUCGUCUCCCCUUCUGGUCCUCUUACCGCUGAGGAUUCCGUGAUGAAGAAUGAUAUGACCGCUGCGGUGGUGGCCAGGAACCUUCUCACUCCCAAAUAUAACAGACUACUUUCCAAACGGUCUGAUGAGUUAGCUUUUAAGGAUUCUCUGGCUCUCAGUGUUCAGUGUGCAGGUUCUGUGUCUAAUAUGGCCCAACGCCUAUUUGCUCGAACCCGCCAAGUUGAAUCUUUGGCGGAUGAAGUAAUGAGUCUCAAACAGGAGAUUAGAGGGCUCAAGCAUGAGAAUAAACAGUUGCACCGGCUCGCACAUGACUAUGCUACAAACAUGAAGAGGAAGCUUGACCAAAUGAAAGAAUAUGAUGGUCAGGUUUUACUUGAUCAUCAGAGAUUUGUGGGUUUGUUCCAAAGGCAUUUAUUGCCUUCGUCUUCUGGGGCUGUACCGCGUAAUGAAGCUCCAAAUGAUCAACCUCUGAUGCCUUAUCCUUCUAGGGUUCUGUCUAGUACUGAGGCUCCGAAUGAUCCCCCUCCGGUGCCUUCUAUUUCUGGGGCUCUACCGACUGCUAAGACUUCUCCUAAGCAACCUUUGUGAAGGCUCCCUCUUGUUUGUUUAUUUUGACUCAUGUAUAUGUACAUAUUUGUAACUUAUCGGGGAUAUCAAUAAAUAAGCUUUCCUUCAUUUCAACGUAUUGUGUUAAAUACACCAAAGCCUUCUUCGCUAAGUUCUUUGAAUUUUCUUUUGUUGAAGCUUGUAUGUUGGAGCUUUGUGAGUGGAGCAUGUAGGUUGACGUAGUGUUCCCUUAAUUUCCCGAGUGAGGAAAACUUCUCGGUUGGAGACUUGGAAAAUCCAAGUCACUGAGUGGGAUCGACUAUAUGAAUCUUAGAACGCCAUUGUUCUCGGUCCUGUGUCAUGUCCUUCGUUAGAUCCAAGUACUCUAAGACUUUUCCUAGAUCUUCCUCUACCCCUUCGGCCCUGAACCUCUGUCCCAUAGUCGUAUCUUCUAAUCGGAGCGUCAGUAGGCCUUCUUUGCACAUGUCCAAACCACCGUAACCGAUUUUCUCUCAUCUUUCCUUCAAUUUCGGCUACUCCUACUUUACCCCGAAUAUCCUCAUUCCUAAUCUUAUCCUUUCUCGUGUGCCCACACAUCCAACGAAGCAUCCUCAUCUCCGCUACACCCAUUUUGUGUAUGUGAGGAUGCUUCACCGCCCAACAUUCGGUGCCAUACAGCAUCGCCGGCCUUUUUGCCGUCCUAUAAAAUUUUCCCUUGAGCUUCAGUGGCAU